This 757-nucleotide ribosomal RNA is filed under the name uncultured Bacteroidota bacterium. Its description in RNAcentral is "bacterial SSU rRNA". It matches the Rfam family "Bacterial small subunit ribosomal RNA", at positions 67 to 822 of the family's 1533-position model. Lineage: Bacteria; Pseudomonadati; Bacteroidota. The record is from RNAcentral.
CGAGGGUUUAGUAGCAAUACUAAACUUAGUGGCGCACGGGUGCGUUACGCGUAUGCAACCUACCUUCAACUGGGAGAUAGCCCCUCGAAAGAGGGAUUAAUACCCCAUAGUAAUUAGAUAAGGCAUCUUAUUUAGUUUAAAGUUCCGGCGGUUGAAGAUGGGCAUGCGUGACAUUAGCUAGUUGGUGAGGUAACUGCUCACCAAGGCUACGAUGUCUAGGGGUUCUGAGAGGAUGAUCCCCCACACUGGUACUGAGACACGGACCAGACUCCUACGGGAGGCAGCAGUAAGGAAUAUUGGUCAAUGGACGCAAGUCUGAACCAGCCAUGCCGCGUGAAGGAUGACUGCCCUAUGGGUUGUAAACUUCUUUUGUACGGGAAUAAACCCAGGUACGUGUACCUGGCUGAAUGUACCGUAAGAAUAAGGAUCGGCUAACUCCGUGCCAGCAGCCGCGGUAAUACGGAGGAUCCAAGCGUUAUCCGGAUUCAUUGGGUUUAAAGGGUGCGUAGGCGGAUUUGUAAGUCAGUGGUGAAAGCCUGCAGCUCAACUGCAGAACUGCCAUUGAUACUGCAAGUCUUGAGUACACUUGACGUGGGCGGAAUGUGUCAUGUAGCGGUGAAAUGCUUAGAUAUGACACAGAACACCGAUUGCGAAGGCAGCUCACGAAAUUGUAACUGACGCUGAGGCACGACAGCGUGGGGAUCAAACAGGAUUAGAUACCCUGGUAGUCCACGCCGUAAACUAUGAAUACUCGAUG